ACUUAAAUAGUUUAAAAUAAAAUAUUAAUUUGUGGGAUUAAAGAUAUAAGAGUUUAUUUUAAGUA
RNAcentral lists this transfer RNA (65 nucleotides) under Sitophilus zeamais (maize weevil). Its description in RNAcentral is "tRNA-His". The record is from RNAcentral. Lineage: Eukaryota; Metazoa; Arthropoda; Insecta; Coleoptera; Curculionidae.